Molecule: ribosomal RNA, 273 nt
Filed under: uncultured bacterium
Lineage: Bacteria
Description: partial 16S ribosomal RNA
Rfam family: Bacterial small subunit ribosomal RNA
Source: RNAcentral
UACGUAGGGUGCAAGCGUUGUCCGGAAUUAUUGGGCGUAAAGAGCUCGUAGGCGGUCUGUCGCGUCUGCUGUGAAAACCCGAGGCUCAACCUCGGGCCUGCAGUGGGUACGGGCAGACUAGAGUGCGGUAGGGGAGAUUGGAAUUCCUGGUGUAGCGGUGGAAUGCGCAGAUAUCAGGAGGAACACCGAUGGCGAAGGCAGAUCUCUGGGCCGUAACUGACGCUGAGGAGCGAAAGCGUGGGGAGCGAACAGGAUUAGAAACCCCCGUAGUCC